Molecule: unclassified non-coding RNA, 3314 nt
Filed under: Leishmania donovani
Lineage: Eukaryota; Euglenozoa; Kinetoplastea; Trypanosomatida; Trypanosomatidae
Description: gene:LdHU3.05.0700(CDS-product:hypothetical_prote in_conserved)
Source: RNAcentral
AAGCGGCGGACGGCACGCGCCUCAAGAGCUCAGCGCAUCCUCGGAUGCGCGCCCACGCGCGCGUACAGGCGUAGCCACAGCACACAGCACUGUCUGUCGUUACGUCACCCGCGCCCUUCAUUGUCAACUUCGUGGACCUUGAGGAAGAAGCGACCACCAGCUAGCGACAAGAGCAGCGAGCUGCACACUGUGCACAGAGUCAGCAGCGGCAGCGGCGGCACCGUGUCGGGUGCGAUCGGCGUCACCACCGCUGUCGCGCCUGCGUUAGGCGGUGCCACAGCUGGCAUACGCGGCACCGGCCGCUGCUCCCGCGCCGGUGAGAAUCGGUUUUGCGUGCCGCGCUGGCGCCUCUCCCGGACACAAUGUCCGGCACGUCGUCGCGAGAUGUCUCCACGGAGUCGGUAUCGAGGACGGCAUCCUCGUGCUCGGCAGUGAAGGCAGGCGGAGCGCCCGCGCCGGCCUCGACGUCCGUAGUGAUACCCGCACCGGUGGUGAAGCAGAAUAUCGAGGAGGUCCUGCGUCACGGCAGUCCUAGUACGCGCGGUCUGCACAGCAUCAGCCCCCUGGCUCCCGAUGCGGUCCGAACGCCUCCCGCGGAUUCGCGGGGACCGCCGCGGUACCUUCGCGCUCGAGGGAUCACCCCAUCUCCCGCAGCAUCCGCGGCGAGAGGUAGGCGCGAGGCGCGAGAACCGCCGCAGCCGAAGCAGGACAGUCGGCGUCGGCGCCCCUUCUCGCGCGGGCGUGGCGAUCGGCAUCGCAGCAGCAGCAGCAGCAGCAGUCACCGUCAUCAAGGCGAGGGGAAGCAAGGCAAGGCGCAAGCUGCCUCGCCACCACAGCCGCAGCCUCCCGACGCCGCCAGCAGUGACUCUCAAGCCCCGACGAGGCGCGAGAUGACAGUACCGCCGCAGCUCGCCGCGCCCUCGCAGCAGUCGGACUUGCCGCUGCCCCCGCCAAAGCAGCGGCAACUCUCUCCUAGCGACAACCAGUGCGGCAAUCAGGCCCAGCAGGAGGUGCAGCGGCGAGACCGCCUUUCGCAGCCAGAUGACUCAGACGGCGCGGUCGCAGACACGCAGGAGCAGGAGCAGGAGCGUUCGGCUCGAACGCCGCCGCCGCGGUCGAGAAGCCCUGCUAGUGCCCACGCCUCCUCCCUGCGCGUGUGCAAUGGCACUAAGGAAGCGGUGGCAGGGGCUCCGUCCCGCAGAGGUCAUGUGGAAGACAUGGUGCUCACCGUGCCGCGGCUGUCGCCUGCUCAAGCCUCCCCCCUCGCACCUUCGACGCAACCGCAGCGCGCUCGGAGGACUGGCGAGGACUUCCGCCAUGGUAGUCCCGUUCAGCCCGCAGCCUGGCAGCAGCACCUCUUGAAGCGUCCACUUCAGGUUGGCAUCCCCGGCCGCGUUGGCGUUCCUGGCAAGGGUUCCGCGGCAGCGGAGGUGACGCCGUCAGCCGCACGGCGUGGCGCAGCCCUUUCCACCCCCCCACAGCUCGUUAGCACCUCACCCAUCGCGCGCUCCUACGUGGUGCAGUCCUUCUCGAGCUAUCUACCGGGUGAGUCUACGGUGCUGCUCGGGGCUCACCAUCGCGGAGGUCCGAGCCCGUCGUCCGCACCGCCGCCGCCGUCUCAGGCGGUCGGCCCCAGCGCUGGCGUUGCCGCUACCACUUCAAUGCCGGCCGUCGUAAUCGAGGUGGCGGUCGUGGCCACCGCCGCGCCAUCGCUGCCUGAGCCGGAGGUGCUGCAGCUCUACGAAGAUAUGCUUCGCCAUCGGCAUGCCGGCAACUGUAAAGGCUGGAGCGGAGGUGUGUCUCGUCACGACGGCCGCGAUGCGCAGCAACGGUACACCCACGAUGACCUCGCGGCCGCGUUUGAUCUCAUUGUGCACAUUCAACUUGCUACUGUCGCCGCCGUCACGGUCAGUGACAUCAAGGACGAGGUGGCGCUGCGCACUGGCUUGCCAGCCGCGCAGCAGUGUCUUGUAUACGACGCCGUGUUGCUGCAGGACUGUCUACCCGUCUGCCUGCUUCCGUCGGUCGCUGACGACGACGGCGUUGGUGAUGGACAAGAUGCCGCCAUGGGACGAAGUGCAGGCCACGACUGCUGGAGACUCGUGUGCGUGCCGCUGUCGAGCGACUCAUCGGCAGCGGCGAUGGCGCGGCAGACUCGUCGGAUCGAGUCUCCGCCGCGAGCGGCGGCGUCGCCAGCAGCAGCAGCCGAUGCCAUGCCCUAUGACGACGGCGGAGACAAGGCUGCAGCAACACUUCAGUCCCUGCUGUCGAUUUCUCCUGUACGACCGAGGACGCGAACCUCUCGCGCAGCAGAGGCGGCCGCGACGUCGCCCUCGCGGCGGCCUGGCGCUGUCCCUUUCACCCUCUCCAACGGCACGACAGUCGCUGCGUCAGCAACUAUCCUCGCGAACACAGCCACAGCCACCGCCUCAGCUCCAACUGCAGCAAGGGCGGGCAAUACGGAGCAAGUGGUCUCCGAGCACAUCAACCGUCUGCGACGUCUGUACCUUAGCAACGCGGAGAUGAGUGAUCAGUCCGGUAGGGGAGGCUGGGGUUUCGCCGUGGCUGCUGUGGAGAGGGCACCAGAGCACGCGGAUCCGUCCACCGCAGCGAUGACCGGGGCGCGCCAACCGGCGCGGCAGCAGCGAGACCUCUUGCUGUCGCCGCUGAGGGCGGCGCCCGCUGUUGGUGCCGAACACUAUCGAACCCGCUUCGGUCUGUCCUCUUCCGCGGCGCCGAUCCCGUCUGCCUGCACGCUGCCGUCUCCAUGUCGCGCGGAACUGAGCGACGCGUUGAUUGCUGCUCUUCCGCCUCCGCCAUUGCGCCGUCCGGUCACUCUGCCGUACGAGUCCAUCACGACGCUCUCCUGGAAGUCCUCUGUGCCUCAGACACAGCCCAUGCAGCCGGUGCAGAUCACCGCCAGCAGCAGCGUCGGUGCGGAUGCCAGCGGUGGCAAUGGUGGGGGUGGCGUCGAUGCAAGUUGGAUGAGCUCGCUCAGCGCAUCCUUCUCCUCCGCUGCCGCAGCGGCGGUGAUGAUGUGAGCCGCGCCGAGCGAAAAGCGUACAGGCGCUCAAGCCGGUGAUGCGUCGAGGAAAGAGGAAAAGGUGGGAAGGAGGCCUGCACAUCGCUGUGGCGCUCGCAUCACCUUCCCGUCUCUGUCUGCUUGCCUCUCUCCCCGAUGACUUGGAGCUUAGACCACUCACUAGAAUACGCACGCACGCACAGAGGCCCAUGUGACGUCCUGAACUCUGUUGUAGGCGUGCAUGGGUGUGUAUACCAUUCUCUCUCUCCGUGUGUGAGCACCUUAGACAUCG